Molecule: ribosomal RNA, 279 nt
Filed under: uncultured bacterium
Lineage: Bacteria
Description: partial 16S ribosomal RNA
Rfam family: Bacterial small subunit ribosomal RNA
Source: RNAcentral
UGCCAGCAGCCGCGGUAAUACAGAGGGAGCAAGCGUUGUUCGGAAUUACUGGGCGUAAAGGGCGCGUAGGCGGUCUGGAAAGUCUUGCGUGAAAUCCCCCGGCUCAACUGGGGAAUUGCGCGGGAAACUGCCAGUCUUGAGUUCGGGAGAGGGAAGCGGAAUUCCGGGUGUAGCGGUGAAAUGCGCAGAUAUCCGGAGGAACAUCGGUGGCGAAGGCGGCUUCCUGGACCGACACUGACGCUGAGGCGCGAAAGCCAGGGGAGCAAACGGGAUUAGAUA